RNAcentral lists this ribosomal RNA (2391 nucleotides) under freshwater metagenome. RNAcentral describes it as "bacterial LSU rRNA". It matches the Rfam family "Bacterial large subunit ribosomal RNA", at positions 83 to 2423 of the family's 2925-position model. The record is from RNAcentral.
AAAUGGGCCACACAUUGUCACGCUACUAUGAAAUCCACUAAGAUAUCAUUAAAAGACCUUUUAAACAAAAAGCAUCUUCACGAAGCUGAGGAGGAAAAGCCUGCCGAAGGUGGAGAAGAUAAAGGCGAAGAAGGAGGAGAAGAAGAAAAUCCUUUUGCCGCUGCAGAAGAAGAGGGAGGGGAUAAAGGUGAAGAAGGCGGAGGAGAAGAAAACAACCGUGAUUGCGCAAGUAGUGGCGAGCGAACGCGCAGAAGCCCAAACCAGAGUUGUUACGGCAAUUUUGGGGUUAUAGGACUGUAACAUUGACUUAUAGUUUAUAGUGGAAGUGAUUUGGAAAAGUCCACGAUAGAGGGUGAAAGUCCCGUACACGAAAUAGACUAUAUACAUAGCAGUAUCCUGAGUACUGCGGGGUCGGAGACGCCCUGUAGGAAUUUGGCGGCACCAUCCGCUAAGGCUAAAUACUCCUGAGAGACCGAUAGCGAACUAGUACUGUGAAGGAAAGGUGAAAAGAACCGCGAACAGCGGAGUGAAAAAGAACCUGAAACCGUACGCUUACAAGCGGUCGGAGCCCUUACGUGGGGUGACGGCGUGCCUUUUGCAUAAUGAACCUACGAGUUGCACUUCACUAGCGAGGUUAAGGGCUUAAGGUCCGUUAACCGCAGCGAAAGCGAGUCUGAAUAGGGCGCACAGUUAGUGGAGGCAGACGCGAAACCUUGUGAUCUACCCUUGGCCAGGAUGAAGUGGUGGUAACACACCAUGGAGGUCCGAACCGAUAAGCGUUGAAAAGCUUCCGGAUGAGCUGAGGGUAGGGGUGAAAGGCUAAUCAAACUGGGAAAUAGCUCGUACUCCCCGAAAUGCCUUUAGGGGCAGCGUGGAGGUUAAGUCUUAUGGAGGUAGAGCUACUGAUUGGAUGCGGGGGAAGCGAUUCCUACCAAGUCCUGACAAACUCCGAAUGCCAUAAGAUAUACUCUGCAGUGAGCCCACGGGUGCUAAGGUCCGUGGACGAGAGAGGGAGAACUCAGACCAUCAGCUAAGGCCCCCAAAUCUAUGCUAAGUUGAUCUAACGAAGUUGGGUCGCAUUGACAGCCAGGAUGUUUGCUUGGAAGCAGCCAUUCAUUUAAAGAGUGCGUAACAGCUCACUGGUCGAGCGAUCCGGCGUGGAUGAUACUCGGGCAUCAAGCAUAGUGCCGAAGCUAUGGACUCAGCAAUGAGUGGUAGGGGAGCAUUCUAACAACAUAGAAGGAGUACUGUAAAGGCUACUGGAGUGGUUAGAAAAGCAAAUGUAGGUAUAAGUAACGAUAAGGCAGGCGAGAAACCUGCCCGCCGAUAGACUAAGGUUUCCUGAACAACGCUAAUCGGUUCAGGGUCAGUCGGGACCUAAGGCGAAGCCGAACGGCGUAGUCGAUGGACAACUGGUUAAUAUUCCAGUACUUGCUCUACUGUGAUGGGGAGACGAAGAAAUGAAAGUGCUGCGUACUGACGGAAUAGUACGUUGAAGAGUGUAGGUAAAAGAUUUGUAGGUAAAUCCGCAGAUUUUGCUGAAACUUGAUAGUACCUUGAGUCGCAAGACAAGAGGAUAUGCACCUAAAUCAGCUUCCAAGAAAAUCCUCUAAACUUCAGGUAGAAGCAACCCGUACCGCAAACCGACACAGGUAGUCAAGGAGAGAAUCCUGAGGCGCUCGAGUGAACCGUGGUUAAGGAACUAGGCAAAUUGACCCUGUAACUUCGGGAUAAAGGGUGCCCGCAGUAAUGCGGGCCGCAGUGAAAUGGCGGUGGCGACUGUUUAACAAAAACACAUGGCUUUGCGAAAACGAAAGUUGAAGUAUAAGGCCUGACACCUGCCCGGUGCCGGAAGGUUAAGAGGAGAUGUCAUCGCAAGAGAAGCAUUGAAUUGAAGCCCCGGUAAACGGCGGCCGUAACUAUAACGGUCCUAAGGUAGCGAAAUUCCUUGUCGGGUAAGUUCCGACCUGCACGAAUGGUGUAACGAUCUCCGCACUGUCUCAACCACGAGCUCGGUGAAAUUGUGGUAUCAGUGAAGACGCUGAUUACCCGUCACGGGACGGAAAGACCCCAUGCACCUUCACUAUAGUUUAACAUUGACGCUGGAUAAUUGAUGUGUAGAAUAGGUGGGAGGCUAUGAAGCAGCGGCGCCAGCCGUUGUGGAGCCAACGUUGAAAUACCACCCUUUAAUUAUUUGGCGUCUAACUCCGCAGGGAGGACAUUGUUUGAUGGGUAGUUUGACUGGGGUGGUCGCCUCCGAAAGAGUAUCGGAGGCUUUCAAAGGUUCGCUCAGUACGCUUGGUAACCGUACGUAGAGUGCAAUAGCAUAAGCGAGCUUGACUGUGAGGCCGACAAGCCAAGCAGGUACGAAAGUAGGAUAUAGUGAUCCGG